UACGGGAGGCAGCAGUGGGGAAUAUUGCACAAUGGGCGAAAGCCUGAUGCAGCUAUGCCGCGUGUAUGAAGAAGGCCUUAGGGUUGUAAAGUACUUUCAUCGGGGAGGAAAAACAAAACUAAUAAUUUUAUUUCUUGACGUUACCCGAAAAAGAAGCACCGGCUAACUCCGUGCCGGCAGCCGCGGUAAUACGGAGGGUGCUAGCGUUAAUCAGAAUUACUGGGCGUAAAGAGCACGUAGGUGGUUUUUUUAAGUUCAGAUGUGAAAUCCCUGGGCUUAACCUAGGAACUGCAUUUUGAAACUGAAAUACUAGAGUAUCGUAGAGGGAGGUAGAAUUCUAGGUGUAGCGGUGAAAUGCGUAGAUAUCUGGAGGAAUACCUGUGGCGAAAGCGGCCUCCUAAACGAAUACUGACACUGAGGUGCGAAAGCGUGGGGAGCAAACAGGGAUUAGAUACC
Molecule: ribosomal RNA, 456 nt
Filed under: uncultured bacterium
Lineage: Bacteria
Description: bacterial SSU rRNA
Rfam family: Bacterial small subunit ribosomal RNA
Source: RNAcentral